CAGCCGCCACGGUAAUACGUAGGGUGCGAGCGUUAAUCGGAAUUACUGGGCGUAAAGUGUGCGCAGGCGGUUGUGUAAGACAGGUGUGAAAUCCCCGGGCUUAACCUGGGAACUGCGCUUGUGACUGCACAGCUAGAGUAUGGCAGAGGGGGGUGGAAUUCCACGUGUAGCAGUGAAAUGCGUAGAGAUGUGGAGGAACACCGAUGGCGAAGGCAGCCCCCUGGGCCAAUACUGACGCUCAUGCACGAAAGCGUGGGGAGCAAACAGGAUUAGAUACCCCCGUAGUCCCUGUCUCUUAUAC
This 301-nucleotide ribosomal RNA is filed under the name uncultured bacterium. RNAcentral's name for it is "partial 16S ribosomal RNA". It matches the Rfam family "Bacterial small subunit ribosomal RNA", at positions 509 to 807 of the family's 1533-position model. The record is from RNAcentral.